GUGAGGAAUUUUGCGCAAUGGCCGCAAGGCUGACGCAGCAACGCCGCGUGGGUGAUGAAGGCCUUCGGGUCGUAAAGCCCUGUCAGGUGGGAAGAAAGGCCUGGAGAGGAAAGGUUUCAGGUUUGACGGUACCACCAGAGGAAGCACCGGCUAACUCCGUGCCAGCAGCCGCGGUAAUACGGAGGGUGCGAGCGUUAUUCGGAAUUACUGGGCGUAAAGCGCGUGUAGGCGGGGGGACAAGUCUGAUGUGAAAGCCCUGGGCUUAACCUGGGAAGCGCAUUGGAAACUGUUUUUCUUGAGUACUGGAGAGGAAGGGGGAAUUCCCGGUGUAGAGGUGAAAUUCGUAGAGAUCGGGAGGAAUACCAGUGGUGUAGGCGCCCUUCUGGACGGUAACUGACGCUGAGACGCGAAAGCGUGGGGAGCAAACAGGAUUAGAAACCCGGGUAGUCC
RNAcentral lists this ribosomal RNA (450 nucleotides) under uncultured bacterium. Its description in RNAcentral is "partial 16S ribosomal RNA". It matches the Rfam family "Bacterial small subunit ribosomal RNA", at positions 354 to 796 of the family's 1533-position model. The record is from RNAcentral.